AAUGAACGCUGGCGGCGCGCCUAAUACAUGCAAGUCGAGCGAGAAGACGUAGCAAUACGUUUGUAAAGCGGCGAACGGGUGAGGAAUACAUGGGUAACCUACCCUAGAGUGGAGAAUAACUAGCCGAAAGGUUAGCUAAUACCGCGUACGCUCCUUGGACUUCGGUUCAGGGAGGAAAGCGAUGCCGAGGGUAUCGCGCUCUUGGAUGGGCUCAUGUCCUAUCAGCUGUUGGUGAGGUAACGGCUCACCAAGGCUUCGACGGGUAGCUGGUCUGAGAGGACGAUCAGCCACACUGGCACUGCGACACGGGCCAGACUCCUACGGGAGGCAGCAGUAAGGAAUAUUGCGCAAUGGGCGAAAGCCUGACGCAGCGACGCCGC
RNAcentral lists this ribosomal RNA (380 nucleotides) under uncultured bacterium. Its description in RNAcentral is "bacterial SSU rRNA". It matches the Rfam family "Bacterial small subunit ribosomal RNA", at positions 29 to 400 of the family's 1533-position model. The record is from RNAcentral.